ACUGCUCAGUAACACGUGGCUAAUCUGCCCUUGGGACCGGAACACCCCCGGGAAACUGGGGCUAAUUCUCGAUAGGUGAAGAACUCUGGAAUGAGUCUUUGCCGAAAAGUUGUCAGGGUUAUGCUCUCUGAUAACGCCCAAGGAUGAGGCCGCGACCGAUCAGGUUGUUGGUGAGGUAAUGGCUCACCAAGCCUUUUACCGGUGCGGGCCGUGAGAGCGGGAGCCCGGAGAUGGGCACUGAGACAAGGGCCCAGGCCCUACGGGGCGCAGCAGUCGCGAAAACUUUGCAAUACACGAAAGUGUGACAGGGCUAUCCCGAGUGCCAUCCGCUGAGGAAGGCUUUUACCCAGUCUAGAACGCUGGGGGAAUAAGGAGAGGGCAAGUCUGGUGUCAGCCGCCGCGGUAAUACCAGCUCUCCGAGUGGUGUGGAUGUUUAUUGGGCCUAAAGCAUCCGUAGCUGGCUAAGUUAGUCCCUUGUUAAAUCCACCGAAUUAAUCGUUGGAUUGCGGGGGAUACUGCUUGGCUAGGGGACGAGAGAGGCAGACGGUAUUUCCGGGGUAGGGGUGAAAUCCUAUAAUCCCGGGAAGACCACCAGUGGCGAAGGCUGUCUGCUAGAACGCGCCCGACGGUGAGGGAUGAAAGCUGGGGGAGCGAACCGGAUUAGAUACCCGGGUAGUCCCAGCUGUAAACGAUGCAGGCUAGGUGUUUGGACGGCCACGUGCCGUUCUAGUGCCGCAGGGAAGCUGUUAAGCCUGCCGCCUGGGGAGUACGAUCGCAAGAUUGAAACUUAAAGGAAUUGGCGGGGGAGCA
This 810-nucleotide ribosomal RNA is filed under the name uncultured archaeon. RNAcentral describes it as "bacterial SSU rRNA". It matches the Rfam family "Archaeal small subunit ribosomal RNA", at positions 85 to 878 of the family's 1478-position model. The record is from RNAcentral.